RNAcentral lists this long non-coding RNA (228 nucleotides) under Setaria italica (foxtail millet). RNAcentral describes it as "long non-coding RNA (SITA_LNC001113)". The record is from RNAcentral. Lineage: Eukaryota; Viridiplantae; Streptophyta; Magnoliopsida; Poales; Poaceae.
AACCAACAAUUCAUCCAACUAAAUUACAAUUUUUUCAGAAGAUGUUACAUUCAAACAAGGAGGCGGUGAAUAUAGGGGAAAAAAGAAAAGGAAAGUCAUCUUCAAGUGUUGUUUAUCGCUGCCUUCGUCAUCUACCAGAAGGAGACGCUAGAAGGAUAGCAGCAAUGCCCAAGUCUCAGCAAGAUCAAGUAUUGGAAUUCAUGGAAGAAUUUUGAGUGGGACUUGAUC